This 128-nucleotide small nuclear RNA is filed under the name Cebus imitator (Panamanian white-faced capuchin). RNAcentral describes it as "U1 spliceosomal RNA (ENSCCAG00000010107.1)". It matches the Rfam family "U1 spliceosomal RNA". Rfam says of the family: U1 is a small nuclear RNA (snRNA) component of the spliceosome (involved in pre-mRNA splicing). Its 5' end forms complementary base pairs with the 5' splice junction, thus defining the 5' donor site of an intron. Lineage: Eukaryota; Metazoa; Chordata; Mammalia; Primates; Cebidae. The record is from Rfam by way of RNAcentral.
UAACUUACCUGACAGGGGAGAUGCCAUGAUCACGAAGGUGGUUUUCCCAGGGCGAGGCUUAUCCACUGCACUCUGGAUGCACUGACCCCUGCGAUUUCCCCAAAUGUGGGAAACUAGACUGCAUUAAA